Molecule: transfer RNA, 69 nt
Filed under: Heterocephalus glaber (naked mole-rat)
Lineage: Eukaryota; Metazoa; Chordata; Mammalia; Rodentia; Bathyergidae
Rfam family: tRNA
About the family: Transfer RNA (tRNA) molecules are approximately 80 nucleotides in length. Their secondary structure includes four short double-helical elements and three loops (D, anti-codon, and T loops). Further hydrogen bonds mediate the characteristic L-shaped molecular structure. tRNAs have two regions of fundamental functional importance: the anti-codon, which is responsible for specific mRNA codon recognition, and the 3' end, to which the tRNAs corresponding amino acid is attached (by aminoacyl-tRNA synthetases). tRNAs cope with the degeneracy of the genetic code in two manners: having more than one tRNA (with a specific anti-codon) for a particular amino acid; and 'wobble' base-pairing, i.e. permitting non-standard base-pairing at the 3rd anti-codon position.
Source: Rfam by way of RNAcentral
AGGGCUGUAGCUCAGUGAUAGAGCAUUUGCUUAGCAUGCAUGAGGUUGUGGGUUUGAGCCCCAGCACUG